CAGUAGCCGCGGGAAUACGAAGGGGGCUAGCGUUGUUCGGAUUUACUGGGCGUAGAGCGCACGUAGGCGGAUUCUUAAGUCAGAGGUGAAAUCCCAAGGCUCAACCUUGGAACUGCCUUUGAUACUGGGGAUCUUGAGUCCGGGAGAGGUGAGUGGAACUGCGAGUGUAGAGGUGAAAUUCGUAGAUAUUCGCAAGAACACCAGUGGCGAAGGCGGCUCACUGGCCCGGUACUGACGCUGAGGUGCGAAAGCGUGGGGAGCAAACAGGAUUAGAUACCCGUGUAGUCCCUGUCUCUUAUAC
This 301-nucleotide ribosomal RNA is filed under the name uncultured bacterium. RNAcentral's name for it is "partial 16S ribosomal RNA". It matches the Rfam family "Bacterial small subunit ribosomal RNA", at positions 509 to 807 of the family's 1533-position model. The record is from RNAcentral.